GAUGAACGCUGGCGGCGUGCCUAAUACAUGCAAGUCGAGCGAACGGACGAUACGCUUGCUUCUCUGAUGUUUGCGGCUGACGUGUGUGUCACACGUGGAUACCCUACCUAUAUUUCUGGUAUAACUUCGGGAAUCCGGCUCUUAUCCCGGAUAAUCUUUUGAUCCGCAUGGUUCAUAAGUGAAUUUCGUUCUUUCUGUCUCUUCUCGAUGUUUCCGCGCUGCAUUAGCUAGUUGGUAAGGUAACGGCUUACCAAGGCAACGAUGCAUAGCCGACAUGAGAGGGGGAUAGGCCACACUGGAAGUGAGACACGGAACAGACGCCGACGGGAGGCAGCAGUAGGGAAUCUUCCGCAAAGGGCGAAAGCAUGACGGAGCAACGCCGCGUGAGAGAUGAAGGUCUUCGGAUCGUAAAACUCUGUUAUUAGGGAAGAACAUAUGUGUAAGUAAAAGAGCACAGAGUGACGGUAACAAAUCAGAAAGCAACGGCUAACUACGUG
This 497-nucleotide ribosomal RNA is filed under the name uncultured bacterium. RNAcentral describes it as "partial 16S ribosomal RNA". It matches the Rfam family "Bacterial small subunit ribosomal RNA", at positions 28 to 507 of the family's 1533-position model. The record is from RNAcentral.